Molecule: long non-coding RNA, 3830 nt
Filed under: Brassica rapa (field mustard)
Lineage: Eukaryota; Viridiplantae; Streptophyta; Magnoliopsida; Brassicales; Brassicaceae
Description: long non-coding RNA (BRAP_LNC002988)
Source: RNAcentral
GAAAAACAUAAAAAACCGUGGGAACAAAAGCUUCUUCUUCUUCUUACCAGGCUUGCUCGGUGGGAACGGACUGGUUUCAGAGUUAUCUUCUGUUCCAUAUGAUUCACUUGGGCUGUAGACCUCAGGUGAUCGGGUCAACUUAUUUAAGAUAAAUCUUCAGUGAAAGAAAAAUAAAAAUAAGUUUGUAGCCACUAGACAAAAUAAAUCUGUGAGUAAUGAUAUUUUCGUAAUUAUUAUUUUUGAUAACAAUGAAUUCAAGAAUAUAAUAGGUAUAAAAUUUAAGCUAGUAAUUAAACUAAAAUAAAAGUCAUUAUUAUAGUAAUAAACUAAUGAAUUAGGGUUAAACUAGCUUUUUCCCAAAUAAUUAUUAUUUUUUAUUUUCAAAAACAAAAUACAUAGAGCACUUGUAAAAGGUUCUGCUCUUUCCGAUCAAUCCAAAUAAUAAUCGAAGGCGAUAUUUCAAGUUUUCAAUAUUGAUAAACGUGCCACAUCAGUUUAUAUUUUUAGACAAGUUUUCGGAAAAGGCAACUAAAUAUAAAUAAAAUAAAACUUGUUAAAAAAGGAGUCGAAUAUCCCCUGUGGAUCCUCUGCUGGAUAAUUAUAAAAUCAAUGUCUGUCACUUCUAGACAAGUCAUUUAAUUUCCCAGACCUGUAAAUCCAAAGCACGUUCUUGGUCUCCGAUUCAGAAAAGAAAAGAGAGAGAGAAGAUGAGUUCAAGAUCUGACCUCACAAUCAUGCGUGUCUGCUUCAUAAUCUUCUUGCUUGGAGUUCUUGUUGAGCUAUGUGAUGGAGGGAUUACCAGUGAAUAUGUCAGAGGAAGUGAUUUACCAGACGACAUGCCAUUAGACAGCGAUGUCUUUAAAGUUCCUCCCGGUCCUAACACUCCCCAACAGGUUCACAUAACGCAAGGUAACCAUGAAGGCAAUGGAGUGAUUAUUUCAUGGGUGACUCCUUCUGCGCCCUGUUCUAACACAGUUCGCUAUUGGUCUGAGAAUGGAAAAUCGAAGAAGCUAGCAGAAGCAACCAUGAACACCUACCGUUUCUUCAAUUAUACAUCUGGUUACAUCCACCACUGCCUCAUUGAUGAUUUGGAAGUAAGUCUUUCCAACAACUUAUUUGUUGUAUUUAGACAUUUAGUUACAGGUUUUUAUUUAAGUGGCUCGGUGUUAAUACCAGCGAGAAGUAGUGAUAGAGAGAAUAAACAUUCAAAGAAUAACUGAAUAAAUUUAGUUAUUGGUUAAUAUAAUUGCAUCUUCUUUUUAUUUUGAGUGAUAUAAUAUAAUUGCAUCUUAUGUUUAAUUUUCUCUAUUUAUUAAGUCUGAAAAAAAUCAUUUUAUUGCAGUUUGAUAUGAAAUACUACUAUGAAAUUGGGAGUGGUAAAUGGCGAAGGCGAUUCUGGUUCUUUACUCCGCCUAAACCUGGUCCUGACGUACCUUACACCUUUGGCUUAAUAGGUAUCAACUUCUGUCUUUAGUAGAUUCAUAUUUUCUGUUGUGACCGUAGAUAUUUAAUUUAUUUCUAAUACAAUAUCCAGGGGAUCUAGGACAAACAUAUGAUUCAAAUCGAACGUUAAGUCAUUAUGAGAUGAAUCCGGGAAAAGGACAGGCGGUUUUGUUCCUAGGAGACUUGUCUUAUGCGGAUCGUUACCCUUUGCACGACAACAACAGAUGGGAUACUUGGGGAAGAUUCGUUGAGAGAAGUGUUGCUUAUCAACCUUGGAUAUGGACUGCAGGAAACCACGAAAUCGACUAUGUUCCUGAAAUUGUAAUAAGACUUGAAUGAAUACCCUUGUUGGUUUCUCGAAAUGGAACUUGACUUUUUUUGCUUUUGCAGGGUGAAACAGAACCAUUCAAGCCUUUUACGAAUCGGUAUCAUACGCCGUACAAGGCAUCGGGAAGUAUAUCUCCAUUGUGGUAUUCCAUCAAGAGGGCUUCAGCUUAUAUUAUUGUUAUGUCUUGUUACUCAUCUUAUGGUAAUACUGACUAGAGAGAAGAAAAAUAAACUAUAUUAUUGGUUUGGUUGGCUUUUUUUCCUAAUACUUUCUUUAAUCUGAUGGAUUAAUUAGGGGUAUACACUCCUCAGUACAAAUGGCUACAACAGGAGUUCCAAAGAGUAAAUCGAACAGAGACUCCAUGGCUUAUAGUCUUAGUACAUUGCCCCUUUUACCAUAGCUAUGUGCAUCAUUACAUGGAAGGUGAGACAAUGAGGGUCUUGUACGAGCAGUGGUUCGUCAAGUCCAAGGUUGAUGUGGUGUUUGCAGGCCAUGUUCAUGCCUAUGAGAGAUCGGUAAUUUUUAUUUGAAUUAGUCUUCCUUAAUAGUAUCUCCUCUGCCCCCAAGUGAUCAUCAAUUACUAACUAACGCAGAAACGUGUUUCUAACAUUGCCUACAACCUUGUCAAUGGGUUGUGUGAGCCAAUAUCGGAUGAGUCGGCUCCUGUGUACAUAACCAUCGGGGACGGAGGAAACUCAGAAGGCUUGCUUACUGAGUAAGUUCUACCAUAUCAGCUUGUACAAAAGUCAUUUCUUAGAAUUUUGAUGAAUGACUUUUGGUUCUUCUUCUUGUAGCAUGAUGCAGCCACAGCCGAGCUACUCUGCCUUCCGAGAACCUAGCUUUGGGCACGGGUUGCUGGAUAUCAAAAACAGAACUCAUGCCUACUUCAACUGGAAUCGGAACCAAGAUGGGUCUUCCGUGGAAGCAGAUUCUGUGUGGUUGCUUAAUCGGUUUUGGCGAGCUCCAAAGAAGACGAUGGUUGUUGCCUCAUGAACACAAAGUGAUCUAUGCUAAACGAUGGAACACAGUGUGAGAGUUAUCAAGUUCUUUGACUUCUUCUUUUCUCAAACUUGUCCUUUUAUAAACACAUUACUACGAAAGUAAGAAGAUUAUUAUAUCUGCAAUAUUAGGCGUGUUCUUUUGGUAGACGCCGAAUGCUGCGGCUGUGUCCAAAAAAAUAAAGCACGGAGGCACAAAAAAUUAAAAACGGUGACGCCAUUAAUCUCAGCGUCUCUUACGGAGACACAAAAAGUGAAGCGCCGGUGACGCUAUUAAUUCCUGCGUCUCUUUCACCCAUCAUUGAUUGCUGCUGCGUCUGGAAAAUAAGUAAGCUCGGAACCUUCACCGGUGUUGGGUUACCGUAAUGAAAGGCUAAUUUAUUGCCGCUGACGCUGCGUCUAGCGGUUAUGAAACGAACAGGGCUAUUAUAAACACAUUACUAAGAAGGUAAGAAGAUUAUAUCUGCAAUCUUGCAAGUGUUAUAAAAUAAAAUAAAGAUAGUAAGUGUUAUGAAAAGUCAAGCGAAAGUGUUAUAAAAAAAAAGAAAUACUCGAUACUCGAUAGCAUGAAGUUCAUUUAUUUGUGUGUUGCGGAACCACUAGUGAUCUAAUACUCGAUCAGCAACAAGGAGUCGACUAACAAUGCAAAUAAAAUUCGCAAUUUACAAAACACAAAUUUCAAAUGGAGAUCGUGUGCAAAGCCCCCAACAAAAAGUGGCGGAAACAUUAUUAACAAUGUGUUUGAAUAAUUAAACUGGUAACAAACUCAAUUAUGUGACUUCUUCUUUGACAAAAACAUAAAAAACCGUGGGAGCGAAAGCUUCUUCUUCUUACCAGUCUUGCUCGGUGGUAACUGACUUGUUUCAGAGUUAUCUUCUGUUCCAUAUGAUUCACUUGGGCUGUAGACCUCAGGUGACUGCGCCAACUUACUCAGCUCAUUAGCUCCUGCAGAGCUUGCUCUUAUGAUUUUCUCAGUAUCACCACCAACUUUUCUCUUCUGCUCAUGCUCAGCCCUCCACUUCCUCAGCUCCUGCUCCACCCCCAGCUUCCCUUCUUUCGCC